Molecule: unclassified non-coding RNA, 313 nt
Filed under: uncultured fungus
Lineage: Eukaryota; Fungi
Description: partial contains 5.8S rRNA and ITS2
Source: RNAcentral
AACGCAAGUUGCACUCCUUGGCAUACCGGGGAGUAUACCUUCUUGAGUAUCGGUUCUAUCUACACUCGACAGCGUGCUGUUGGAUAAUGAGUUUUCUCGACGCAAGUUGAGUGACUUUAAAUCGUAGAUGGUCUCAGUAAUUUGAGCUUUUUUCUCGUAAUAGCUUGAAACAAGACUAAACAUGGAUCAUGUCCAAUAUGUUUCUGGUCUUUUUAGUAGAGCGCUAGAGUGAAAAGUUUCAAUGGAUCACAAACCAAAGGCGAAUUCUUUGAAUAAUGAUCUCAAGUAAGGCAAGAGAACCCCCUGAACUUAA